RNAcentral lists this transfer RNA (79 nucleotides) under Streptococcus pneumoniae. Its description in RNAcentral is "tRNA-Pro". It matches the Rfam family "tRNA". From Rfam's summary of the family: Transfer RNA (tRNA) molecules are approximately 80 nucleotides in length. Lineage: Bacteria; Bacillati; Bacillota; Bacilli; Lactobacillales; Streptococcaceae. The record is from RNAcentral. RNAcentral also lists the same sequence under 11 other names.
UCGGGAAGUAGCUCAGCUUGGUAGAGUACUUGGUUUGGGACCAAGGUGUCGCAGGUUCGAAUCCUGUCUUCCCGAUUCA